UCAAAGGUUGAAGCAAGCAUUGCAGCUACUUCUCCUAAGACACCAACUAAGCAAGAUACUCAACUUGGUACUCCUACAAGUCCAAUGACAAGGCAAAGGGCAGCAGCUAUUGCAAUUGCUUCAACACCUCCUAGUGCAUCUACAAGGAGCAAAACUGCUACUCCUAGCCCUCUUCGAAACAACAAUGCCAUGUGAAGGAGGAUAUCAGCAAGCUUUUGGAUGUUGAUCGCCCAAAUCAGUUAUAUGGAUUUUGGUUCGUUGACCAGGGAGAGCGGAGAGCUGCAUUACUUUGAUCAGUUGCAGUUCUAACUCUCUUUAUUAUAACUUGUAGGAGAUUAAUUAGAUGCUAUGUAACCGGAGCCAGUACUUCUAUCCUAUGGUAUGAUGACUGUUUGCAACCGUGCAUGCAUGCUUAGUAGCAGAAUGGUGUACGCGCAUGCAUUCUUAGUAGCAGAAUGGUGUAUGUGACUAGGAGGUGCUCUUUUGCUAAUUGCUAUACUGUGUUGUGAGAACCAUUUU
This is a long non-coding RNA of Triticum dicoccoides, 519 nucleotides long. RefSeq lists it as uncharacterized. The transcript is spliced from 3 exons. The record is from RefSeq and is a predicted model, not a curated record. Lineage: Eukaryota; Viridiplantae; Streptophyta; Magnoliopsida; Poales; Poaceae.